UAACUAUAACGGUCCUAAGGUAGCGAAAUUCCUUGUCGGGUAAGUUCCGACCUGCACGAAUGGCGUAAUGAUGGCCAGGCUGUCUCCACCCGAGACUCAGUGAAAUUGAACUCGCUGUGAAGAUGCAGUGUACCCGCGGCAAGACGGAAAGACCCCGUGAACCUUUACUAUAGCUUGACACUGAACAUUGAGCCUUGAUGUGUAGGAUAGGUGGGAGGCUUUGAAGCGUGGACGCCAGUCUGCGUGGAGCCGACCUUGAAAUACCACCCUUUAAUGUUUGAUGUUCUAACGUGGACCCGUAAUCCGGGUUGCGGACAGUGUCUGGUGGGUAGUUUGACUGGGGCGGUCUCCUCCUAAAGAGUAACGGAGGAGCACGAAGGUUGGUUAAUCCUGGUCGGACAUCAGGAGGUUAGUGCAAUGGCAUAAGCCAGCUUGACUGCGAGCGUGACGGCGCGAGCAGGUGCGAAAGCAGGUCAUAGUGAUCCGGUGGUUCUGAAUGGAAGGGCCAUCGCUCAACGGAUAAAAGGUACUCCGGGGAUAACAGGCUGAUACCGCCCAAGAGUUCAUAUCGACGGCGGUGUUUGGCACCUCGAUGUCGGCUCAUCACAUCCUGGGGCUGAAGUAGGUCCCAAGGGUAUGGCUGUUCGCCAUUUAAAGUGGUACGCGAGCUGGGUUUAGAACGUCGUGAGACAGUUCGGUCCCUAUCUGCCGUGGGCGAUGGAGAACUGAGGGGGGCUGCUCCUAGUACGAGAGGACCGGAGUGGACGCAUCACUGGUGUUCGGGUUGUCAUGCCAAUGGCACUGCCCGGUAGCUAAAUGCGGAAGAGAUAAGUGCUGAAAGCAUCUAAGCACGAAACUUGCCCCGAGAUGAGUUCUCCCUGAGACUUAGAGUCUCCUGAAGGAACGUUGAAGACGACGACGUUGAUAGGCCGGGUGUGUAAGCGCAGCGAUGCGUUGAGCUAACCGGUACUAAUGAACCGUGAGGCUUAACCUU
RNAcentral lists this ribosomal RNA (994 nucleotides) under Salmonella enterica subsp. enterica serovar Manhattan. Its description in RNAcentral is "bacterial LSU rRNA". It matches the Rfam family "Bacterial large subunit ribosomal RNA", at positions 1937 to 2925 of the family's 2925-position model. Lineage: Bacteria; Pseudomonadati; Pseudomonadota; Gammaproteobacteria; Enterobacterales; Enterobacteriaceae. The record is from RNAcentral.